Small nucleolar RNA from Meriones unguiculatus (Mongolian gerbil), 127 nucleotides. NCBI's taxonomy places the organism in Eukaryota, Metazoa, Chordata, Mammalia, Rodentia, Muridae. The record is from Ensembl.
AGUACUGAUGUGCAGUUUUGCUGAACUUGUGGACAAAGACUUAAAGACAGGUAGAAAAAUAAGUCCUCUUUUUGGAGCCAGAACUCACUGUUCAAUGUGGGUUUUGGUAUAUUCAUAAAGGAAUGUG